RNAcentral lists this ribosomal RNA (427 nucleotides) under uncultured bacterium. RNAcentral's name for it is "bacterial SSU rRNA". It matches the Rfam family "Bacterial small subunit ribosomal RNA", at positions 28 to 441 of the family's 1533-position model. The record is from RNAcentral.
AAUGAACGCUGGCGGCGUGCCUAACACAUGCAAGUCGAACGAGGCGGAAGGGGCGAACUCCUUCCAGUCGAGUGGCGGACGGGUGAGUAACACGUGGGUAACCUGCCCGGAAGUGGGAGUACCUCGGGAACUCGAGCUAAUACCGCAUGACAUCUUCGGGACGAAAGUCCUGACGAUCAAAGACGGGGUCGCAAGAUCUCGCGCUACCGGAUGGGCCCGCGCCCGAUUAGCUAGUUGGUGAGGUAACGGCUCACCAAGGCUUCGAUCGGUAACCGGCCUGAGAGGGCGAUCGGUCACACCGGAACUGAGACACGGUCCGGACUCCUACGGGAGGCAGCAGUGGGGAAUCUUGCGCAAUGGGCGAAAGCCUGACGCAGCAACGCCGCGUGGAGGAUGAAGGCCCUUGGGUUGUAAACUCCUGUCGGCU